Molecule: ribosomal RNA, 406 nt
Filed under: uncultured bacterium
Lineage: Bacteria
Description: partial 16S ribosomal RNA
Rfam family: Bacterial small subunit ribosomal RNA
Source: RNAcentral
AUUGAACGCUGGCGGCAGGCCUAACACAUGCAAGUCGAGCGAGCGGCGGACGGGUGAGUAAUGUCUGGGAAACUGCCCGAUGGAGGGGGAUUACUACUGGAAACGGUAGCUAAUACCGCAUACCUUUAGAUGUGCCCAGUUGGGAUUAGCUAGUAGGUGGGGUAACGGCUGACAUGGGCGACGAUCCCUAGCUGGUCUGAGAGGAUGACCAGGCACACUGGAACGGAGAGAAGGUCCAGACUCCUACGGGAGGCAGCUGUGGGGAAUAUUGCACAAUGGGCGCAAGCCUGAAGCAGCCAUGCCGCGUGUGUGAAGAAGGCCUUCGGGUUGUAAAGCACUUUCAGCGGGGAGGCGUUACCCGCAGAAGAAGCACCGGCUAACUCCGUGCCAGCAGCCGCGGUAAUUC